CCUCCAGGGAAGGAGACUCCACCAUUUCCCUCGGCAGCCUCUUCCAAUGCUUGAUUGCUCUUUUGGUAAAAAAAAUUUAUCUAAUAUUCAAUCUAAACCUCCCCUGGUGCAACUUGAGGGCAUUUCCUUUUAUCUUAUCACUCUCCAGGCAGAAAGAGCUAUUUUUUUUCCCCACAAUGUGUUGCUCAAACAAAAAGAAUAAAAUUUUGGAGGUUAUAUGGAUUGUUUCACUAUCUCGAGUACACUGCACCUCUCCUAUGAAUUCAGAGUAUGCUGCAGCCCUUAAAGAUGAUAGGUCUGACCUUUUCCAAACAGGUACCUUAACUAUAAAGUGUAUCAACAGAACCUGGUGAAAUAAAACCUUCCUUCACAGGAAGCAGCCUGAGAUACCCCAGUCCUACAGGAACACACACGUUGCCUAAAUACAGGGCACACCUGGAGGGAAGCUGUAGUAGACUGAUCUCCUAUGAACUUGAUGGGAAAUGCCUGUGGUCACUUUUACACAAGUCUGGAAGUAACUGCUGCAUUUUAUGGGGAAAAUGAGUGAUAUUACUAUCAAGGGAAAGCUCAGAUUUUGCUGGUUUUUUCAGCUGAAAAAAGUUUAGUUUAAAAGCAUAGCAGAUGCUGCUGAGAUGUUUUGUGGACCCUGUGACUCUGGUGCAGCCUUUCAAUCACUUGCAUUUUUCCACAGAAUGCAGAGUUUUCAGGAGCACCAAAGAAGUCCUUCUCCAUAUCCUCCAUAGUUUGUUGCUUUUUCUAGAGCUGUUUCACACAGAUCACUGAAUUUUUAGUCACCAAAUCUGCCUCCCUCCACAGGCAACAGAAUGUGCAUGAAGCUGAUCUUGGAAGGGUUACCAUGGCACUGAGACAACACACUGCCUUUUCUUCUGUAUUGUCUGACUUUACAUCCUCUAGAAUUAAACGAAAAAAGGCAGUCUAACAUAGACCAAAUCCAGCUUCUCUCCUUUUCUGUUAGCAAAGUACUGGGCUAAUCAGUUCCCAAACUACUGCUUGCAAUUUAAGCCA
Long non-coding RNA from Cuculus canorus (common cuckoo), 1026 nucleotides. RefSeq lists it as uncharacterized. Lineage: Eukaryota; Metazoa; Chordata; Aves; Cuculiformes; Cuculidae. The transcript has 2 exons. The record is from RefSeq and is a predicted model, not a curated record.